Molecule: long non-coding RNA, 1026 nt
Organism: Arvicanthis niloticus (Nile rat)
Lineage: Eukaryota; Metazoa; Chordata; Mammalia; Rodentia; Muridae
Source: RefSeq, a predicted model, not a curated record
UCCUGGCUGUUGCGUUCCCUGGAGCCACGACUUUGUGGGGCCUAGGCUUGGGGGGAGGAGGAAUUCUGCCCAGACUCUCCAGCAGUUGGUAGCAGGCAAGCUUUCUCCUGUGUCGCCUGGAAAAGUUGCAAAAUUGCUCUUCACCUGUAAGAACAUGCUUUUUUAUCUUCCAGUCUCUUCUUGUCAAUUUGGAAAUUGCAGACAGCCCGGCUCAGGGUUGAAGAAACCAUCCAAGAUGGCCUAAACAACACAAGAUUCAUCUUCUUCUUUGUGCAUUUACUUAACAUCAUGCAGUUUAUUAAAUAUAUAUACAUAUAUAUAUAUAUAUAUAUUUGUAUACAUAUGUUUUAAAAGCCCCACCCUUAAUGUCUUUGGGGUCUUCAUGAGUUCUGUUGCACUUUACAAAAGACCUUUACGGAGGAAAGGACCGGACAACCUUGCCUUAUAUGUGUGGCCUACACCAUUAAUUGCCCAAGUCCUUUAGGGAGGCCUUAUUCCUAUGUAAAUACCCUUGCAUAAUGUUACAGGCUAUUGUUAGGCCAGCGCCAGUCAGUCGCCACUUAUAUGCAUUUUUACUUCAAUCCGCUGCUCAGAGAAUGAAAAGAUGUCUGGACUUAAGCUGUUUACCAACUGGGCCGAAGCUGCAGAGCAGCAAGACUGAAGAAAACCCAAGCAUCUGCAGGAACAGGCUUUUACAAUGUACCACUAUUCUGAGUCUUCAGAGCAGGGGCAGUCACCUGUGUGUCUGUGCUGGAGGCAGCCUUCCGGGUAGUGCUUGCUACCUGGCCUUAGACGGCAAACAAAAGACUUUUAUGAUCUGUAAAUGAUGAUCUGCAACCUUUUCUUAUUUUGUCUUCGGGAUCUCCUGAGUUGUCUUCAAUGAAGAAUUCUGUAUUUGUGGCAUAUAGUCAUAGUCCCAAAUCUUUGUCUGGACACAAAAUUGCCCAGGGGAAAAAUGUCAUCUACCUAAUAGUUGCAUGUGCCUACUGUAGAGUGAAAAAUUAUAAAGGCCAUCUUAUGAAAUAU